ACAAGACAGGGAAGAAGAAGAAAGCAUUAAGUGUAGCAGCCACCAGGUGUACUUUAAAAAGUGAGUGGUCAACCAAAUGGCCAUUCAUUACCAUAGGCACCAGCAGCUCCUACAACUGGUGCUCUGUUUGCAGACAGGAGAACUCAGGUGUGAACAGGCACAUAAAACAUAAAGGUCAUCAGGCCAAAGAACAGGCACUUCAGUCAACAAGCAGCAUAAUUUCUAUUUGUGCUGGUCAAUUAUGAACAACACUAUGUAAAAUUAAACUGCUAGCAAAAACUUGAGAGAAUUUGGUGGGGCAGAGGGGCCGCUGCUGCAAAUAUUUCAGUGGCUCCUCCCCUAACAGAUGUAAUCUCACUCCAAACUUUUAAUAAAACUUGAGAGCUCUGCUUUUAAUGUAGCGAAUUGGUCAAAAACAACAUAUCUGCGAAAAACCUAAUAAAAGUGACAUAUAAGACAGAACAUUCUCUAAUAUGUAUAAUAUCAUAUCGAUUUAUAAGUAAUGUAGCAAUUCAUUAUUUUAUACGCUUUUAUGUAUGUUAAACGCGCUUCACUGCGCGCUCAGGUGAUUCAUUCAUCUUCAGGCGCGCGGCGGUGAGAGGGGUCUCGUACCUGUGGUGAUAUCCGCCAUGUUUGCGCGGUUUGGAGCGGACACGAGCAAAACAAUGGAUUAUUUACCAAGAGAUAUUAAUGUUUGAGGUCAUUUCGACAAAACGGCUCUGGUAAGCAUCGACGCACAUUUACAUUUGUAGUAUUUUACUUAGCAGACGCUUAUAAAGGAACUUGCUAAAAGUUUUCACGUGACUGCCGCGAAAGCUUUCUUGGCUUGUCUGCAAAGUUUCGGUAUGCCACCUACAGCUAAUAAACGGACGAAAUCUUCUUCAUCUUUGAUCUAAGCAUUAUGUGGAUCUCGAGUGUUUACGCUGCGCUAAACUUUGACGAGCAACACUCCGAUCUGCAAACAAACCCAUAUGGUAAAAAAAAUAUAUUUUAUCUGGCCAAAAUAUAUUUUAAAUAUAUGGAUUGUAAACAGUGAAUUUCAAUGAAAUAUAUUUUUGAAACUGAAAAUAUAUUUUGUUUCAACCUUCAUAUACUUAAAAUAUAUUUAAAAUGUAUUUCAGAGGCAAGAAAAUACAUUUAUAUUUAAAAAUAUAUUUCAGGGUGCAAGAAAAUACAUUUCCAAUCUUACAGUCGACAAUGCAAAUGUGGGUGGAAGAAAGCCUUAAGAUCAAAACUACAUUCCAUUAAAUGUUAGAAGAAUUUUAAACAGAAAAAAAACAUUAUUUCCCCAUAUUUUCCACAUUGACCAAUUUUGUUCACAUGAUCUUCCCAAAAAAUACAGUGAUCAUGGCACUUGAUCCCCAGCCUUUAUUGGAAACACCCUCAUAAAAGUGUGGCCUAUUUUAAUCUAUUAUUCAUUAAUUUAUUAAUUCAUUUGUUUAUUUAUUUGUAAUUUAAUGUCAGUGUAAUAUAGCGUUUAAAUGCACGUCAAAUAAAAAUAAAUAGAUGAAUAAAAUCGCUAGAUGUACGAUGUUAAUGACUGUGAUGUAAUUUGAAUGGGAAACCACUAGCAGCGCUCACGGACUUUUGGAGUACUGCGCAUGCGCGUCAUUUUGAGCUGUAACGGUCGUCAGUCAGCCGGGAGUUCUCGGAGGAAAAGGUGAGUUAUAACUUUAUUUUUAGUCAUCAUUUUUCACAUAUGUAAUGUUAAUUGCUACUUUGGAUGUAUAAUGUUUUGUAUUGUCAAGGUUUUUAACUUUAUUUGUCAAUUUAAUGACCUGUUUGUUUUAUUUGCUCACAUGAGGAGACGCAUCUGAGAUUUUUAGAUUUUAAACGUUAGUUGUUUUUAAUUUGGACACUAACGAAAACUAACGUUACACAAAAAAAAUGUGUAAUAUUUUUUUCAAUUUCAGCUGUAGAGUGUUUGGGAGACUGUGCCGCUUGCUGUUGUCGAUCGAUGAUGCUCGCGUGAUCCUGUCACUGAUAGUGGAGCAUAAGCGGAGAUAGUUUGUGCAACAGCAACAAGGUGCAGGUCCAAACCCAUCUGUCAAGAUGCUUCUUUGUCCUCUUACUGUCUGCCCCACCAGCCCAGUGCUGGAGAGCCUCUGACCACAAGUCAUAGAAAAAGAGGAUGUCAUAAUCAUCUGGAACAGCAUGAGGGAGCAAAGAGCAAAACUGACAGUGGUGGAGAGAGAAGAAGUGCCCUUGACGAGGAAACCAUGGCAGCCAUAUAGUCAAGAAGAGAUUUCCAAAUGUGUCCAAAGAGGCUUUGAGGAUUUGAACUGGGGAAACUGAGACUUCUUGAAAGCAAAAAAGUUAUAUUUUUUUGAAUAUAUUGUAAUAAUGUAUAUUUUUUGAGCAUUGUAAAGUAUGUUCCUUGCUGAUUUUUAUUCACAUGUUCACGUGUU
Molecule: long non-coding RNA, 2408 nt
Organism: Ctenopharyngodon idella (grass carp)
Lineage: Eukaryota; Metazoa; Chordata; Actinopteri; Cypriniformes; Xenocyprididae
Exons: 6
Source: RefSeq, a predicted model, not a curated record